RNAcentral lists this transfer RNA (76 nucleotides) under Rickettsia bellii str. RML Mogi. RNAcentral's name for it is "tRNA-Ala". It matches the Rfam family "tRNA". From Rfam's summary of the family: Transfer RNA (tRNA) molecules are approximately 80 nucleotides in length. Their secondary structure includes four short double-helical elements and three loops (D, anti-codon, and T loops). Further hydrogen bonds mediate the characteristic L-shaped molecular structure. tRNAs have two regions of fundamental functional importance: the anti-codon, which is responsible for specific mRNA codon recognition, and the 3' end, to which the tRNAs corresponding amino acid is attached (by aminoacyl-tRNA synthetases). tRNAs cope with the degeneracy of the genetic code in two manners: having more than one tRNA (with a specific anti-codon) for a particular amino acid; and 'wobble' base-pairing, i.e. permitting non-standard base-pairing at the 3rd anti-codon position. The record is from RNAcentral. Lineage: Bacteria; Pseudomonadati; Pseudomonadota; Alphaproteobacteria; Rickettsiales; Rickettsiaceae.
GGGGUCAUAGCUCAGUUGGUAGAGCGUUUGAAUGGCAUUUAAAAGGUUGGGGGUUCGAUUCCCCCUGGCUCCACCA